UAAUUUCUGAUUGCCUGGGACUCCUUGGGAAAAACAAAAAAGGUGCCACAGAUUCCAUUUUGGGAGCAACCUCUGUUUUCCUUAUGGAACCCCAGGAAUUAGAUGCAGAUAGAUCCCUCUCAAAAUCUAGUUUUGUCUUCUACCUAUACCUGUUUAUUAGUCCCUAGAAACUGCUUGUUUUCCUAGCCCUGCUUUUAAAAGGCCCCACUUGAGACUAGUAAUCCAAUUGAGAGAUUGGCAAAUGAAAAAUCUUAUAACUACUGGAUUUUCUGUUUGUCUGUGUAGUUAUAUAUGUUGUAUGUGAUGUAUAUAAAAAAUAGCUAUAUUUAAUUGGCUUAAAGAAAAAUAAGCUCUUAGAUCAAAGUUUUUGAAGGAAAAGUAAAAGCUGUACUGCUUUUUAGUUCACAUGACUAAUCUUUGAGAAAUAAAAACAGUCUUAAAGAUUAUAGGAAAAUACAAAUGUCAUUAAAAUGUAAAUAGGUGAUCUAAAUUGUGCAAGUCAGAUACUAGGUUUGCUAAAUGUUUUAAGGUUGCAAACUGCUUUUUUGGCCUUUGAGAGCUGUUUGACUGGCCACCAUGCCCUUAACUAUGCUGGAAGGAAUCAAACUUCAUCAGCACUUAAUGCAUAAUUAAAACAACUUACCAGGUUUUACACUAAAAUUAAAAUUUGCCGUUUAAUGGUAAAGAAUUAUCAUUAUAACAUGUAAUUGAGACCACUUAAAAUGGAUUUACAUGCAAGGUGUGUAAGAAUGGUAAAAUGUGUUUUUAGUGAAAGAUUAUAAGAAAGCAUGAAAAUGGAAAUAUUUGCCUAGAGCUAAAGGAUUGUUUUAAAUUAGAUAAAAUAAAGCUAAAGGUUUAAACAAGUUAUGGGAUGUUUUAAAAAAUUAACCUUGCAAAAUAAAUUCAAAUGGAUAUUAUAUGGUUUUUCUGUAAAUUGAGCAUUGAAGUAAAAACACAACAAGGUUUCCUUAAGGCACUAAUCUGCUCUUUAGCAAAAUGUGUAAAGCGUUAUAAAAGUUUUAUAAGAAUCUCACCUCAUGGUUAAACUGGUUAAGUUCGGAUAGAAUUGUCUAUAAGGUUUCAUUAGAAAAGCUGGGAUUGACAUAAACGGUAAACUAAUGUAAGUGUUAUAUUUGGCUUUCUCUCCCUUGUACAAGAUUUUCAUAUAACAGUAAAGGAUAAUGAAUGAUUUUCAUUUGCCUUGUGGAUAGACUGUCAAGGAGAAGAAAGAGAAGACAGGAGACAAACUGUUUGGAAUGCGAAGUCUUCCCUCUUAAAGAGUUAAGUUUUUUGCUAUUUAAACAUUUUUUGAGUCAUCAUUUUGGCAAAAUAAUAACUUAGGGUAAUCUGAAAUUCUGUUUCAUAAUAUCAAGUGCUUCAAAACUCUAACAUUAAACAGGCUUCCCAAAAUCAAAUUUUAGCUUCAAGGUUGUCUUUCUUGACCUCUAGCUGUUGGAUGCUAGAGAGGGCCCCUGGGGCAUCCAAAAGAGGUAAACAGGAUUAAUUGACAUGUUUAGGUACGUGGACUUGCCAAAAUGAUGCUUAAUCUUCUUCAGGUUAUAUUUAAGUGAAUAAUAUUAAUAUAUGUUACAAAAUCGUAUGGGAUUCCUAAAAUUUUUAAUGUCUGAGCAUAUGCUAUCAAUCAUAAUUAAGGUUAUUAUGUUAAGUUAUUGUAAACCACAGAGAUAACCAAAUUUCUUUGUCAAUUGUGUUUUUAACUGUAACUACCUUGGAUGUUUUCUUAUUAACAGAGAAUUGUUGUCUUGUUUUGAUUCUCUUCAAAAGAGUUUAUAAUCAGC
Molecule: long non-coding RNA, 1799 nt
Filed under: Homo sapiens (human)
Lineage: Eukaryota; Metazoa; Chordata; Mammalia; Primates; Hominidae
Description: HSALNT0286010
Source: RNAcentral